GUAAACUAUCUAACAGUAUCUGGAAGAACAUUGACAAAAAUGUAGUCAUGUUACGUAAUAGAGGACGAAAUCAAAAUAGAAAAAAGUGAAAAAAUUAAAGAUGACUAAUUAGCAGAUAUAUACAAAGGAGAUAUUUUGAAGGGGGUCGAGAAAAGGUAAGGAGAGAUGUUUGGAUAUUCUUCUUAGUCUGCUACCCUAAUCAUGUAUUUCUUUGACUAAUUUUGUGAAAGAUUUUCUGCAAUUCAUCAACUCACAAAAUAUUUGUCGAUUAAAGGACUCUUUAAAUUUAUUAAAGUGGUUCUAGUGUCAAAAUAAGCUAUUAAUUCUCCAAAGUAUAGUGUGACCAAGCUAAAGCCUAAGGGCAGGUUCAAUCCCACGUUGUGAAACUUGUCAAUUCCUACCUUUGAAAAUCUGAAGAGCAGCUCGAUGAAAUAUAGUCCUAGUACCAUCUCUGUAUAUGACAUUGGGACUCGACAUCUUGAAUUCAAUAACGCUGAUACUCCUAAAACAUAAUACAAUAACAACUACAUUGAGAAUGGUAAUGUGUAGAAAUUCAAUUAUAUAUAUUGCUUAUAGCAGAUUUAGAGCUGAUGAUACAAUGAGAAUGAAGGUUGAAGAACAUAGCCGUGUAGAAAAGAAGUAGAAGAAGAGAGAAGAGAGAAACAUAGAAGUACUGAUUUUUUAUUCUUCAUUGCGUUUCAAUCUAUGAAUAGAUACACGUUUAUAUAGAGUGCAUUUAUGUGAUAUUGCAGUUCUAGAAC
This 761-nucleotide long non-coding RNA is filed under the name Nicotiana benthamiana. Its description in RNAcentral is "long non-coding RNA (NBEN_LNC039666)". Lineage: Eukaryota; Viridiplantae; Streptophyta; Magnoliopsida; Solanales; Solanaceae. The record is from RNAcentral.